GGUUGUGGCUUGGAGGUAGAGCACUUGCCUAGCAUGCAUGAGGCACUGGGUUCAAUCCUCAGCACCA
Molecule: non-coding RNA, 67 nt
Organism: Ictidomys tridecemlineatus (thirteen-lined ground squirrel)
Lineage: Eukaryota; Metazoa; Chordata; Mammalia; Rodentia; Sciuridae
Source: Rfam